Malus domestica (apple) is the source of this 950-nucleotide non-coding RNA. NCBI's taxonomy places the organism in Eukaryota, Viridiplantae, Streptophyta, Magnoliopsida, Rosales, Rosaceae. The record is from RefSeq and is a predicted model, not a curated record.
CCUAUCCCUAUCCCUCUCCCUCUCCCUAUCCCUCUCCCUCGAAUCCCUCUCCCUAUCCCUCUCCGUUGAUUUUUCUUUUUAAAAUUUUGCUAAUUUUUGUGUUUUGAUUUGAUUCAGGGAGGAAAGCGAGCUUCUUUGUUGUCAGAUCUGACGCCGGGGUUAGCUCGGGUUCGAAUUCGAAGGCUCGCCGGGCUGAUCAGCUGAUUACCAAUGUUGUUGCAACCAAAGCUGAUGGCGCUGCAGCUUCGACCGCAUCGAAACCUGGGGGAGAGAUGAUGAGAGGUGCGGGAGGCCCUCUUCUAUGCAUAGGCGAUCUGCUGAGCGACGUGGGGGAAUCAGAUGCUUCGCCGCCACCGCAACAACCUGAGACCUCUUCGUCUUCUUUUGUUUCCAGCUCCGAUCAGAGCUUGGACCUCACCAAGUUGUUCCAGGAGAACUAUGAGCAGCUGAAUGAGGCGCUUGACGGUACAGAUCAUUCAUGGGCAGCUCUUACUUUGAAGUUAUGCAGUGCUUUGGAAACUGCAAACAAGUUAGUUCAGUCAACAAACUCAAAUGUCAUGUCAAUGUCGGAGAAGGUUGGAGAGCUUGAGGGAGUUAUCAAGAGGGCAGAUUCUGCCAUAACAGCAGCAAGGGUGGUUCAUGGUUCACUAAACAAAAAGGAAGGACCACUUAUUGGCAAUCAAAAUGCCAAAUGAUCCAUGUCUUGUCGAGAGCCAGGUUAGUUAAUUCGAUCAAGGGAAAAAAUGUGAAAAUACUAAGCCUUAGAAACUGCGGUGUUUGCUGUUAAAAAAGUCUUUUCCUUUGCUUUUCUUCAUUUUCACAACAAAAUGUAUCAUACAAUAGGAGUAAGAAAGCGAACCUGUCUGAUGCAAAAGGGAGAUGUAACUAUCAAUUAUCCAUCUUGUAUGGAUAGACCAAAUCUAUCUCUUGCUUAUUUAAAAAAAAAAAAA